GCCGUCUCAACGGGGUGCGGAAGACAGUUUCCGCUGAGAGCAAACCCGUCGAACCUGAACCGGCUAAUACCGGCGGAGGGAUUUGAGCAUCGCCAACGG
Molecule: non-coding RNA, 99 nt
Filed under: Serratia odorifera
Lineage: Bacteria; Pseudomonadati; Pseudomonadota; Gammaproteobacteria; Enterobacterales; Yersiniaceae
Also listed under: 1 other name
Description: TPP sequence
Rfam family: TPP riboswitch aptamer (THI element)
About the family: Vitamin B(1) in its active form thiamin pyrophosphate (TPP) is an essential coenzyme that is synthesised by coupling of pyrimidine and thiazole moieties in bacteria. The previously detected thiamin-regulatory element, thi box was extended, resulting in a new, highly conserved RNA secondary structure, the THI element, which is widely distributed in eubacteria and also occurs in some archaea.
Source: RNAcentral